GCCAACUGGCAGAGGGCACAUGGGUGCCUAAGGGUUUCAGGGAUCCCCUGGUUCAGGCAUUCAUGGUUCUAGUUCUCCCAAGAGAGCCAUGGAAGUCAAUUUGCAUACUGAGUGAAAUGCUAAUGAAGAGACUGGUGCGGACUUCAAGAAGACAAAAUUAACAGGAAGAGGUGAACAGUGGGGGAAGGACCUUGUUUACAGGGCCAGAUUCUCCCAUCCAUGAUAAGGAAGAAGAAACGUCUCGCGGCGGUGGAGUACAAGAGUUGACAGGAGAGCGCUCGGGGGUUGAUUUAUCGCAUCUAGACUAGACACGAUAAAUCGAUCCCCACUGGAUCGAUCACUGCCCGCUGAUCCGAACCUGCAAUCUUCUACAGUCCCAGAGGGCUUUGCAGAUCAUGUAUAUCGGAAUCCCUUAAUCCACAAGUGCAAUGCAGCCAUGCUUGGGCUGGAACAUGACAGGUGUAUAACAGUACAAAGCAACACUACCUGCCACACUGUA
Long non-coding RNA from Mauremys reevesii (Reeves's turtle), 499 nucleotides. RefSeq lists it as uncharacterized. The transcript is spliced from 4 exons. Lineage: Eukaryota; Metazoa; Chordata; Testudines; Geoemydidae. The record is from RefSeq and is a predicted model, not a curated record.